RNAcentral lists this RNase P RNA (381 nucleotides) under Bacillota bacterium. RNAcentral describes it as "Firmicutes bacterium (anaerobic digester metagenome) RNase P RNA component class A". It matches the Rfam family "Bacterial RNase P class A". Rfam says of the family: Ribonuclease P (RNase P) is a ubiquitous endoribonuclease, found in archaea, bacteria and eukarya as well as chloroplasts and mitochondria. Lineage: Bacteria; Bacillati; Bacillota. The record is from RNAcentral.
UAACUGUCUCGGGUAACUGCGGAUCCUUGGAUCUGAGGAAAGUCCGAGCUCCAUAGGGCAGGAUGCUGGAUAACAUCCAGGGGGGGCGACCCCACGGAAAGUGCCACAGAAAAGAAAACGCCGGAUAUAUUAUCAGGAAUGUUUCAAACCUUCCAGUACAUUAUAUCAGGCAAAGCUGAAAAGGUGCGGUAAGAGCGCACCAGCGGUCGAGGAAUCGAUCGGCUUGGAAAACCCCAUCCGGAGCAAGGCCAAAUAGGGAAGUUAUAAAACGGCCCGUUUUACUUCCGGGUUGGCUGCUGGAGAUGUCGGGUAACCGGCAUCCUAGAUAAAUGGUUACCACCCUUAAGGGCACAGAACUCGGCUUAUAGAGACAGUUAUUCA